RNAcentral lists this small RNA (157 nucleotides) under Blautia faecicola. RNAcentral describes it as "Clostridiales-1 RNA". It matches the Rfam family "Clostridiales-1 RNA", at positions 12 to 158 of the family's 166-position model. Lineage: Bacteria; Bacillati; Bacillota; Clostridia; Lachnospirales; Lachnospiraceae. The record is from RNAcentral.
UCAAAAAGUCGGAAGUCUGACGCAGGCUUGCUUGUAGGAAGAUUUCUGACCUUGAGACUCGCAAGAAACAUGAGUAAGUAGCCAUUUUUUAAGAAAAAUGCGCGGAUUACGAAUGUUUUUGAGGAUUGGGAGAGUACGAAGUACGGAACAAUCCGGU